This 406-nucleotide ribosomal RNA is filed under the name uncultured bacterium. Its description in RNAcentral is "partial 16S ribosomal RNA". It matches the Rfam family "Bacterial small subunit ribosomal RNA", at positions 30 to 526 of the family's 1533-position model. The record is from RNAcentral.
AUUGAACGCUGGCGGCAGGCUUAACACAUGCAAGUCGAGCGAGCGGCGGACGGGUGAGUAAUGUCUGAGAAACUGCCUGAUGGAGGGGGAUAACCACUGGAAACGGUAGCUAAUACCGCAUACCAUACGAUGUGCCCAGGUGGGAUUAGCUGGUAGGUGGGGUAAUGGCUGACCUAGGGGGCGAUCCCUAGCUGGUCUGAGAGGAGGACCAGCCACACUGGAACUGAGACACGGUCCAGACUCCUACGGGAGGCAGCAGUGGGGAAUAUUGCACAAUGGGCGCAAGCCUGAUGGAGCCAUGCCGCGUGUGUGAAGAAGGCCUUCGGGUUGUAAAGCACUUCCAGCGAGGAGGCGUUACUCGCAGAAGAAGCACCGGCUAACUCCGUGCCAGCAGCCGCGGUAAUUC